GUGGUGGAAGGUCUGGUGAAGAAGAGGAGGAGGAGGAAUCAUCAGUGGGAAUCUGGCAGCCCUCAAGCAGCAGGAUCCCAAUCUAACAGCAUUAUCCCCAACCUGGAAGGAGUAAAGUGGUGGGAAAUUAUGACUUCCAGUCAGUCAUCAUCAUAAAGCUCCGUUCAGCUGACGCCAGCCUUGAAGCCCGCGCUCUGGCAGUCCAUCAUCCCGUUCUGGUCUACUGUCCCAGUCUAGUCUCCUUAGUGCGUGGAUGGAGUCGGGGAAGGGAGGGAAGACAAUCUGUGAAGAGAGAAAGGAGAAGUGGUCGGCAUGAUACGGCAGGAAGCGUGUACAUGUUUGCUUUAGGGAGGCAGAAAUGGUGUAGACAAGUUUAUAGACAUGUUCAUGUAGGAACAGAUGUUCUGAAGUGUUUGUGAAACGUUUGUCCUGGAAGACUCACCUGAUGAAGCAGCAUAUCCACCCAAUAACCCCAUGUUGUGUUUGUAAGGAAUUUAACUUUGUUACCCCGUUUGCCAAAAAUGUGUCCCGCGCUACAAUAAAGUAGCCAACAUUGAUUUAGAACACAUGUUGCCCGUCAUUUAGG
Gasterosteus aculeatus aculeatus (three-spined stickleback) is the source of this 586-nucleotide long non-coding RNA. NCBI's taxonomy places the organism in Eukaryota, Metazoa, Chordata, Actinopteri, Perciformes, Gasterosteidae. The record is from Ensembl.